CACUGCUCAGCAAGGGGGAUAAACGGACUGGACUGACACUCAGCAAUUGCCGUGAAUGUCGCUGUUCCGAGGCUCCAGGCACAGGGAGGAGAGAUCACUCAUUGUUACCAUCUACCUGUAAUACCGGGACCUGAGAGACGGAUCCGAGGACGCUGCAGCUUUAGGGUCACUGCCCACCGGCUCCUGUCACAUUGCAGGAUAUUUGGGGUGAGCACGUAGCAGGGACCCCCCUUACUGAUGACGUGUUUCCAGCUCGCAGCAUGGUGCCUCUGGGUCCUCUACAUGGUAAUAAGAGCCGAUACUGCAAACUCAGAACAGAUCCAAAUACAGCAAAGUCCAGUGAAGCAGCGACGGUGCCCCUGCUGGUUGGUUUGGGUAUUGGUGUCAGUUUCGUGACACGCUGAUUCUAUAACGGUGGUUCUGAUCCACGCUGGAUAGAGAUGUAGGUGGCUGCAUCGUAGUGGAGGUCCCGCAGCAGUAAUCCACCGAAUGGGACGGCUUCUAUCUUCUGAUACAUAAUAAAGAUUUC
This is a long non-coding RNA of Pseudophryne corroboree (corroboree frog), 529 nucleotides long. RefSeq lists it as uncharacterized. The transcript has 5 exons. Lineage: Eukaryota; Metazoa; Chordata; Amphibia; Anura; Myobatrachidae. The record is from RefSeq and is a predicted model, not a curated record.